Long non-coding RNA from Danio aesculapii, 309 nucleotides. RefSeq lists it as uncharacterized. The record is from RefSeq and is a predicted model, not a curated record. NCBI's taxonomy places the organism in Eukaryota, Metazoa, Chordata, Actinopteri, Cypriniformes, Danionidae. The transcript has 3 exons.
UGUCAGAGUGAAUGCAUGCGAGUUCAAAACAGAGACGGUAAUAUGUUUAUAAAUCUCCCUCCAAGAUAUCAUUGUCUUAGUUCAGAGGUAAAGACAAUGCUUGUCAAAGCACAAUAUCAGAACCAAAAGAAGUUCAUAAAAAUCCCAGAGGCUUGCUUUGAUUUAUUUCUAGCAGAGGUGAAAGAGAAGUUUUCAUUACCACAGGAUCUUGUAAGUACAGUUACAGAUGAAGCUGGUACAGAGGUGGACAAAGAUGUGUUUCCUGAUCUUAUGAGCACCAGUGGACUGCUUCUUGUCAUAAAUGCUUUU